UGGAAUCCACGAAAUUGGAGAAAGGCAAUGUUUUAAAAUCCUAAUUUACCACUCUCAACUAUUGACCCGUGCAAAUUUAUUGUAAACCAUGGCCAUAAACUUAAGGAUCAGUUUUAUCUCGCUAGGAAUUCUGCUGUUGAUGUUUUAUGUUUCAGGAUCUGAAUGUAAACCAAUUAAGGACACAUUUGACUCAAUUACACGUUUAAGUGAUUCAGGGUCACAAGGAUACACUCAAUAUUUUCGUAAAGCCCUGAUGGACGCUAGCCACGUUUUAGACAACAUGCUACAGAAGGGCAAAAUGAGACUAAUGGACCUGCCUUUUGAUAAUUUUGAAGACUGGG
Molecule: long non-coding RNA, 341 nt
Organism: Cydia fagiglandana
Lineage: Eukaryota; Metazoa; Arthropoda; Insecta; Lepidoptera; Tortricidae
Exons: 3
Source: RefSeq, a predicted model, not a curated record